Molecule: ribosomal RNA, 2903 nt
Filed under: Escherichia coli
Lineage: Bacteria; Pseudomonadati; Pseudomonadota; Gammaproteobacteria; Enterobacterales; Enterobacteriaceae
Description: 23S ribosomal RNA
Rfam family: Bacterial large subunit ribosomal RNA
Source: RNAcentral
GGUUAAGCGACUAAGCGUACACGGUGGAUGCCCUGGCAGUCAGAGGCGAUGAAGGACGUGCUAAUCUGCGAUAAGCGUCGGUAAGGUGAUAUGAACCGUUAUAACCGGCGAUUUCCGAAUGGGGAAACCCAGUGUGAUUCGUCACACUAUCAUUAACUGAAUCCAUAGGUUAAUGAGGCGAACCGGGGGAACUGAAACAUCUAAGUACCCCGAGGAAAAGAAAUCAACCGAGAUUCCCCCAGUAGCGGCGAGCGAACGGGGAGGAGCCCAGAGCCUGAAUCAGUGUGUGUGUUAGUGGAAGCGUCUGGAAAGGCGCGCGAUACAGGGUGACAGCCCCGUACACAAAAAUGCACAUGCUGUGAGCUCGAUGAGUAGGGCGGGACACGUGGUAUCCUGUCUGAAUAUGGGGGGACCAUCCUCCAAGGCUAAAUACUCCUGACUGACCGAUAGUGAACCAGUACCGUGAGGGAAAGGCGAAAAGAACCCCGGCGAGGGGAGUGAAAAAGAACCUGAAACCGUGUACGUACAAGCAGUGGGAGCACGCUUAGGCGUGUGACUGCGUACCUUUUGUAUAAUGGGUCAGCGACUUAUAUUCUGUAGCAAGGUUAACCGAAUAGGGGAGCCGAAGGGAAACCGAGUCUUAACUGGGCGUUAAGUUGCAGGGUAUAGACCCGAAACCCGGUGAUCUAGCCAUGGGCAGGUUGAAGGUUGGGUAACACUAACUGGAGGACCGAACCGACUAAUGUUGAAAAAUUAGCGGAUGACUUGUGGCUGGGGGUGAAAGGCCAAUCAAACCGGGAGAUAGCUGGUUCUCCCCGAAAGCUAUUUAGGUAGCGCCUCGUGAAUUCAUCUCCGGGGGUAGAGCACUGUUUCGGCAAGGGGGUCAUCCCGACUUACCAACCCGAUGCAAACUGCGAAUACCGGAGAAUGUUAUCACGGGAGACACACGGCGGGUGCUAACGUCCGUCGUGAAGAGGGAAACAACCCAGACCGCCAGCUAAGGUCCCAAAGUCAUGGUUAAGUGGGAAACGAUGUGGGAAGGCCCAGACAGCCAGGAUGUUGGCUUAGAAGCAGCCAUCAUUUAAAGAAAGCGUAAUAGCUCACUGGUCGAGUCGGCCUGCGCGGAAGAUGUAACGGGGCUAAACCAUGCACCGAAGCUGCGGCAGCGACACUAUGUGUUGUUGGGUAGGGGAGCGUUCUGUAAGCCUGUGAAGGUGUGCUGUGAGGCAUGCUGGAGGUAUCAGAAGUGCGAAUGCUGACAUAAGUAACGAUAAAGCGGGUGAAAAGCCCGCUCGCCGGAAGACCAAGGGUUCCUGUCCAACGUUAAUCGGGGCAGGGUGAGUCGACCCCUAAGGCGAGGCCGAAAGGCGUAGUCGAUGGGAAACAGGUUAAUAUUCCUGUACUUGGUGUUACUGCGAAGGGGGGACGGAGAAGGCUAUGUUGGCCGGGCGACGGUUGUCCCGGUUUAAGCGUGUAGGCUGGUUUUCCAGGCAAAUCCGGAAAAUCAAGGCUGAGGCGUGAUGACGAGGCACUACGGUGCUGAAGCAACAAAUGCCCUGCUUCCAGGAAAAGCCUCUAAGCAUCAGGUAACAUCAAAUCGUACCCCAAACCGACACAGGUGGUCAGGUAGAGAAUACCAAGGCGCUUGAGAGAACUCGGGUGAAGGAACUAGGCAAAAUGGUGCCGUAACUUCGGGAGAAGGCACGCUGAUAUGUAGGUGAAGCGACUUGCUCGUGGAGCUGAAAUCAGUCGAAGAUACCAGCUGGCUGCAACUGUUUAUUAAAAACACAGCACUGUGCAAACACGAAAGUGGACGUAUACGGUGUGACGCCUGCCCGGUGCCGGAAGGUUAAUUGAUGGGGUUAGCGCAAGCGAAGCUCUUGAUCGAAGCCCCGGUAAACGGCGGCCGUAACUAUAACGGUCCUAAGGUAGCGAAAUUCCUUGUCGGGUAAGUUCCGACCUGCACGAAUGGCGUAAUGAUGGCCAGGCUGUCUCCACCCGAGACUCAGUGAAAUUGAACUCGCUGUGAAGAUGCAGUGUACCCGCGGCAAGACGGAAAGACCCCGUGAACCUUUACUAUAGCUUGACACUGAACAUUGAGCCUUGAUGUGUAGGAUAGGUGGGAGGCUUUGAAGUGUGGACGCCAGUCUGCAUGGAGCCGACCUUGAAAUACCACCCUUUAAUGUUUGAUGUUCUAACGUUGACCCGUGAUCCGGGUUGCGGACAGUGUCUGGUGGGUAGUUUGACUGGGGCGGUCUCCUCCUAAAGAGUAACGGAGGAGCACGAAGGUUGGCUAAUCCUGGUCGGACAUCAGGAGGUUAGUGCAAUGGCAUAAGCCAGCUUGACUGCGAGCGUGACGGCGCGAGCAGGUGCGAAAGCAGGUCAUAGUGAUCCGGUGGUUCUGAAUGGAAGGGCCAUCGCUCAACGGAUAAAAGGUACUCCGGGGAUAACAGGCUGAUACCGCCCAAGAGUUCAUAUCGACGGCGGUGUUUGGCACCUCGAUGUCGGCUCAUCACAUCCUGGGGCUGAAGUAGGUCCCAAGGGUAUGGCUGUUCGCCAUUUAAAGUGGUACGCGAGCUGGGUUUAGAACGUCGUGAGACAGUUCGGUCCCUAUCUGCCGUGGGCGCUGGAGAACUGAGGGGGGCUGCUCCUAGUACGAGAGGACCGGAGUGGACGCAUCACUGGUGUUCGGGUUGUCAUGCCAAUGGCACUGCCCGGUAGCUAAAUGCGGAAGAGAUAAGUGCUGAAAGCAUCUAAGCACGAAACUUGCCCCGAGAUGAGUUCUCCCUGACUCCUUGAGAGUCCUGAAGGAACGUUGAAGACGACGACGUUGAUAGGCCGGGUGUGUAAGCGCAGCGAUGCGUUGAGCUAACCGGUACUAAUGAACCGUGAGGCUUAACCUU